RNAcentral lists this long non-coding RNA (272 nucleotides) under Lactuca sativa (garden lettuce). RNAcentral describes it as "long non-coding RNA (LSAT_LNC001859)". Lineage: Eukaryota; Viridiplantae; Streptophyta; Magnoliopsida; Asterales; Asteraceae. The record is from RNAcentral.
GCGGUUGAAGGUUACAGAAUUGCAGGUGGACCCUUGGGUGAGGUUGUUGACCCGCUUUACCCUGGUGGUAGCUUUGACCCGUUAGGGCUUGCUGAUGAUCCAGAGGCUUUUGCUGAGUUGAAGGUGAAGGAGAUCAAGAAUGGAAGACUUGCUAUGUUCUCCAUGUUUGGCUUCUUUGUUCAAGCCAUUGUUACAGGAAAGGGACCAUUGGAGAACCUUGCUGACCACCUUGCUGAUCCCGUUGCCAACAAUGCUUGGUCUUAUGCCACAAA